Molecule: non-coding RNA, 129 nt
Organism: Dendroctonus ponderosae (mountain pine beetle)
Lineage: Eukaryota; Metazoa; Arthropoda; Insecta; Coleoptera; Curculionidae
Source: Rfam
CCAUAGUCCUUUCUAAUGCUGCAAAAUGAUUUCCUCGUUUUGGAGUUUCGCUUAAGGACUAAAUUAAUUCGAUUUUUACCACCAAUUUCCUUUGGCUGUAGGAAAUUGGUAAAAAAAAUUGGAACAAUU